Molecule: long non-coding RNA, 491 nt
Filed under: Setaria viridis
Lineage: Eukaryota; Viridiplantae; Streptophyta; Magnoliopsida; Poales; Poaceae
Description: long non-coding RNA (SVIR_LNC000280)
Source: RNAcentral
UCACCAGCAGGCCCACCAGGUGAGCACCACGAUUUCCGCUUGCCUAGACGAACCUCCAUCGCAACUGAGACUUGAAUCUCGAGCUCGCGGACGCAAAGCCCAUCACGGGCGAACCUGUAGCAAAACUGGAACUUCCGGUUCUGAUCUGUCAACCAGCAGUAGCUCUAGAAACAUGAGAGGAACCCAACCAAGCAAACCCCAAACCCAUCAAUGGUGAACCCUAACUUCCCAGGACCAUCCCAAGGUCUUUCCGAGGAGAUCUCCCCAAGGGGAGAGAUCUACCCAUAGAAAACCGGAACUUUCAGUUCCUAAACCGGAACAUCCGCUAUUGAUCUGUCCAGAGUGUCCAGAGUUCUUCCCGUGAGACCUCUCUAAGUGAGCUAAAAACUGGAACAUCCGGUUACCCCAAAUCGCAACUUCCGGUUUUCUAAAGUCAGAACUUCCAGUUUUUACCCCAGAAACCAGAAACACCCCACGACACCCUAGCCACC